RNAcentral lists this ribosomal RNA (1311 nucleotides) under Triticum aestivum (bread wheat). RNAcentral's name for it is "partial small subunit ribosomal RNA". Lineage: Eukaryota; Viridiplantae; Streptophyta; Magnoliopsida; Poales; Poaceae. The record is from RNAcentral.
AUGUCCCAUCAGCUGGGCUUAAUUAAGCCACAUAACACGUGGGCUUUGGGCGUGCUUUGCAUGCAAUUGGCUGAUGGAAUAAGAUAUGCAUGCAUCUUCGGUUUGUGUGCUACUACGGCGCCUUGGUCAUUUAAUCUAGCUCUACUCUUCGGAGAUUUCCGUUGGCGUUCCGGCAAGUCCCUAUGCGGGCUUGGUCCGUCGUACAACUGUGGAGAUGAUUACAAGUGCCAUGUAUAUUUAUUAUGCCAGCAAUAUGUUUUUCUCACGGUGGGCGUCCCGGCGAGUCCCUAUGUGGGCUUGGUCCGUCGGAAAAUAUUUAAUGGUUGGCUGAAGAUAGUUGCUAAUAAAGCUAGAUGGCACAUGGUGAGUGCACCUUAUCCUAAACCUGAUCAUGAAGCCUACACCCUAGGGACCAGGAUGGUAGCAAGAGGUCUAGCGGAGCCAUACCAUCCUGAUCGAGUUGUACGACAACUUACUUUGAGACAACAAGUGCCCUAUGCUCCGUUGGUCAGCGUGUACACAAAGGAGGAUACUGGUGUUGCAUAUACGUAUUGGUCGCAUUUGUUACGCUCAGACCAAGGAGAGUUCCACUACCUUCUUAAUGAUGCGCAUGAGGCAUUUUUUUCUGUGGCCUGGAACAACUGGUGGGUGGGAUUUAUGAAACCAUUUAACAACAUAUUCAAUACUCUUCGUCCGGGCAUUUCGAAUGGUCCGAUUUAUAAUCCACGAAAACAUAAUUUUCUGAGACACGGGGAGGAAUACAUAAUUCCUCGCAACCUUUCAGAAAAUGAUUUUGAUGUUAUAAAGGAAGUCUCCGCCAGGGAGGACGCUCCAGUUGUGGAUGAGGAAACAUCCACUCAAUUGGCAAUGGCGUCCAUGGACGUUUCUUCUAUCACUGAGCUUUUUGUAGAGACCAUUGACAGGACGCUGGUGAGGGCCAUCCAAGGCUUAGACGAUUCCACUAGAACAGAACCUCAACGCCGCGACAUUCUUCAAGCAGUUUAUUUGAUGCUGCCAACGUUGAAGAAGCAGUGUGAAGAGGAGAAGGCCGUGGAAGACCUUGGUGUGCAACUUAACGCAGCUACCUCCACGUUGCGGGUGACUGAAGAAGCUAUUAUGCAGCUAGAGUUGGAACAAUCAGCAAAUGUACAGGAAUUGAAGGUUCUUGAGGAGAAGUUUAAGCUCGUGAUGUUUAUACUCUUUAGACCCUUUAGACUCAUUUCACUCGUCUCCUACAAGGAAAAUUUUGUGAGGAGAAAAGAAUGUUUGUUUCCUUGCAUCAUCAUAUUAAAAAUGCACCCGGUGAAAUAG